This is a long non-coding RNA of Beta vulgaris subsp. vulgaris (sugar beet), 265 nucleotides long. RefSeq lists it as uncharacterized. NCBI's taxonomy places the organism in Eukaryota, Viridiplantae, Streptophyta, Magnoliopsida, Caryophyllales, Amaranthaceae. The record is from RefSeq and is a predicted model, not a curated record. The transcript has 2 exons.
AGGCGGAGAUUUCGUAGUAGGAGACUUUUAGAGCGUAAAAGUGGCCUACAGAUUUGUUUAUACAAGAGUUGAGACGGCAUUGACAUUACAGGUUCGAAGAUGCAUAUCAUUGGGGAAUCUGGAAUGGAGAGACUCUUGUAUUAUUAGAACCAUUUAAGUUGUUUUCAUAGGAGCUUAUGUUUUCAGACAAUAGUUUUAGGUUGGUGUGUUUAGUUUGACCAUUGUUUUUGGUUUCAUAAGUUUUAAUAAAGUUGAUUUUUAAUAA